Molecule: non-coding RNA, 75 nt
Organism: Heligmosomoides polygyrus
Lineage: Eukaryota; Metazoa; Nematoda; Chromadorea; Rhabditida; Heligmosomidae
Source: Rfam
GUGCCGGUGGUGUAAUGGCGUAGAGCAUUCCCGCCCGGUUAGAGGGAGGUGCGGGUUCGAGUCCCGCCUGGCGCU